AUGGAGGAUGAGUUUGCAGAGCAUGCGGUUCUAUGUUAUCUGAGGGCGAGAGUCAUUUGGAGACAGACAAGCGGUUACCCUUGAGAGACGAGCACUGAUCCUUGGUUGGCUUCCUUUCUUGGCUUGAUUCGUCAGAGUGUGACUGACGGGUCGACUGCUAUUGUUGGGCAGAUAGCUUAUAUUACUUAUCAGAUUUGACUGUCUAAGAGCAGCCUCAUCUUCGAUGG
RNAcentral lists this long non-coding RNA (227 nucleotides) under Elaeis guineensis (African oil palm). Its description in RNAcentral is "long non-coding RNA (EGUI_LNC025057)". The record is from RNAcentral. Lineage: Eukaryota; Viridiplantae; Streptophyta; Magnoliopsida; Arecales; Arecaceae.